GGUGAGUAAUGCUUAGGAAUCUGCCUAUUAGUGGGGGACAACAUUCCGAAAGGAAUGCUAAUACCGCAUACGCCCUACGGGGGAAAGCAGGGGAUCUUCGGACCUUGCGCUAAUAGAUGAGCCUAAGUCAGAUUAGCUAGUUGGUGGGGUAAAGGCCUACCAAGGCGACGAUCUGUAGCGGGUCUGAGAGGAUGAUCCGCCACACUGGGACUGAGACACGGCCCAGACUCCUACGGGAGGCAGCAGUGGGGAAUAUUGGACAAUGGGCGCAAGCCUGAUCCAGCCAUGCCGCGUGUGUGAAGAAGGCCUUUUGGUUGUAAAGCACUUUAAGCGAGGAGGAGGCUACUUGGAUUAAUACUCUAGGAUAGUGGACGUUACUCGCAGAAUAAGCACCGGCUAACUCUGUGCCAGCAGCCGCGGUAAUACAGAGGGUGCGAGCGUUAAUCGGAUUUACUGGGCGUAAAGCGUGCGUAGGCGGCUUUUUAAGUCGGAUGUGAAAUCCCUGAGCUUAACUUAGGAAUUGCAUUCGAUACUGGGAAGCUAGAGUAUGGGAGAGGAUGGUAGAAUUCCAGGUGUAGCGGUGAAAUGCGUAGAGAUCUGGAGGAAUACCGAUGGCGAAGGCAGCCAUCUGGCCUAAUACUGACGCUGAGGUACGAAAGCAUGGGGAGCAAACAGGAUUAGAUACCCUGGUAGUCCAUGCCGUAAACGAUGUCUACUAGCCGUUGGGGCCUUUGAGGCUUUAGUGGCGCAGCUAACGCGAUAAGUAGACCGCCUGGGGAGUACGGUCGCAAGACUAAAACUCAAAUGAAUUGACGGGGGCCCGCACAAGCGGUGGAGCAUGUGGUUUAAUUCGAUGCAACGCGAAGAACCUUACCUGGUCUUGACAUAGUAAGAACUUUCCAGAGAUGGAUUGGUGCCUUCGGGAACUUACAUACAGGUGCUGCAUGGCUGUCGUCAGCUCGUGUCGUGAGAUGUUGGGUUAAGUCCCGCAACGAGCGCAACCCUUUUCCUUAUUUGCCAGCGGGUUAAGCCGGGAACUUUAAGGAUACUGCCAGUGACAAACUGGAGGAAGGCGGGGACGACGUCAAGUCAUCAUGGCCCUUACGACCAGGGCUACACACGUGCUACAAUGGUCGGUACAAAGGGUUGCUACCUAGCGAUAGGAUGCUAAUCUCAAAAAGCCGAUCGUAGUCCGGAUUGGAGUCU
RNAcentral lists this ribosomal RNA (1206 nucleotides) under Acinetobacter johnsonii. RNAcentral's name for it is "bacterial SSU rRNA". It matches the Rfam family "Bacterial small subunit ribosomal RNA", at positions 105 to 1306 of the family's 1533-position model. Lineage: Bacteria; Pseudomonadati; Pseudomonadota; Gammaproteobacteria; Moraxellales; Moraxellaceae. The record is from RNAcentral.